GAUGAACGCUAGCGGCGGGCUUAAUACAUGCAAGUCAAGGGGUAGCAAUACACCGGCGUACGGGUGCGUAACGCGUAUGGAACCUGCCCUUAUCUGGGGGAUAACUCGGGGAAACUCGAGCUAAUACCGCAUAAGAUAGUAGAGAGGCAUCUCUUAGCUAUUAAAGAUUUAUCGGAUAAGGAUGGCCAUGCGUAAGAUUAGAUAGUUGGCGAGGUAACGGCUCACCAAGUCUACGAUCUUUAGGGGCUCUGAGAGGAGAAUCCCCCACACUGGCACUGGGAUACGGGCCAGACUCCUACGGGAGGCAGCAGUAGGGAAUAUUGGGCAAUGGGCGGAAGCCUGACCCAGCCACGCCGCGUGCAGGAAGACGGCCCUCUGGGUUGUAAACUGCUUUUAACUGGGAAGAAAGCAGCUCAUGCGUGAGAAUUUGACGGUACCAGUUGAAUAAGCCACGGCUAACUACGUGCCAGCCGCCGCAGUAA
This 482-nucleotide ribosomal RNA is filed under the name uncultured bacterium. RNAcentral describes it as "partial 16S ribosomal RNA". It matches the Rfam family "Bacterial small subunit ribosomal RNA", at positions 28 to 523 of the family's 1533-position model. The record is from RNAcentral.